This 30-nucleotide non-coding RNA is filed under the name Mus musculus (house mouse). Lineage: Eukaryota; Metazoa; Chordata; Mammalia; Rodentia; Muridae. The record is from RNAcentral.
UAUUGCAAUUAUCAUUACUGCUGGAGAUGC